RNAcentral lists this ribosomal RNA (462 nucleotides) under Latilactobacillus sakei. Its description in RNAcentral is "bacterial SSU rRNA". It matches the Rfam family "Bacterial small subunit ribosomal RNA", at positions 47 to 472 of the family's 1533-position model. Lineage: Bacteria; Bacillati; Bacillota; Bacilli; Lactobacillales; Lactobacillaceae. The record is from RNAcentral.
ACUAAUACAUGCAAGUCGGAACGCACUCUCGUUUAGAUUGAAGGAGCUUGCUCCUGAUUGAUAAACAUUUGAGUGAGUGGCGGACGGGUGAGUAACACGUGGGUAACCUGCCCUAAAGUGGGGGAUAACAUUUGGAAACAGAUGCUAAUACCGCAUAAAACCUAACACCGCAUGGUGUAGGGUUGAAAGAUGGUUUCGGCUAUCACUUUAGGAUGGACCCGCGGUGCAUUAGUUAGUUGGUGAGGUAAAGGCUCACCAAGACCGUGAUGCAUAGCCGACCUGAGAGGGUAAUCGGCCACACUGGGACUGAGACACGGCCCAGACUCCUACGGGAGGCAGCAGUAGGGAAUCUUCCACAAUGGACGAAAGUCUGAUGGAGCAACGCCGCGUGAGUGAAGAAGGUUUUCGGAUCGUAAAACUCUGUUGUUGGAGAAGAAUGUAUCUGAUAGUAACUGAUCAGGU